AGUAUGAAAAUUCUUUUAUGAUGUUGAAGAUUAGACAAAACUUCAACCACAUAGCAUACUAAAAAAAUUUAUCCUCACCAAUCCAGGUUCUGGUACCACUUAUCGGGAAAAACAAAGUCAUAGAAAAAAAGAGAAACACGAUAACAACACAAGAGAUUAACGUGGAAACUCCAAAAUCGGAGAAAAAACCACGAUCUUGUCAAAGGACAACCAAAGAAUAACACUGUAAAAAUUAUUACAACACAUAGACUAUCUUCAACCACCAUAAG
This 269-nucleotide long non-coding RNA is filed under the name Lathyrus oleraceus (garden pea). RNAcentral's name for it is "Pisum sativum (pea) long non-coding RNA (PSAT_LNC002760)". Lineage: Eukaryota; Viridiplantae; Streptophyta; Magnoliopsida; Fabales; Fabaceae. The record is from RNAcentral.